Bradysia coprophila is the source of this 210-nucleotide long non-coding RNA. NCBI's taxonomy places the organism in Eukaryota, Metazoa, Arthropoda, Insecta, Diptera, Sciaridae. The record is from RefSeq and is a predicted model, not a curated record.
UGCUAAAACCUCCUUAAUUCCUUAAUAAGGAAUUUGGUGGAGGGUCUACAAUAUUUGUGUGGUGACCCCCAAAAUUUUUGAGAAAUUUUGGUGUAUCCCUGAGGGAUCUUUAAUUUCUAACCGGGAUCCCGGAUUUUUUCUUGAAACGGAUGUUUUAAGGAUCCCAUGAAAGAUCCCAUACAAAAGUCUUAAAGACCUACCUCCUUUAUC